UUUUAAGAAGCAGCAGAAUGAGUGCGAAGGAGUUARGUUCCUUAUAUGGGAGUAAAUUAUAGUAUGAU
RNAcentral lists this transfer RNA (68 nucleotides) under Armadillidium vulgare (common pillbug). RNAcentral describes it as "tRNA-Leu". Lineage: Eukaryota; Metazoa; Arthropoda; Malacostraca; Isopoda; Armadillidiidae. The record is from RNAcentral.